UGCAAGUCGAGCGGACAGAAGGGAGCUUGCUUCCGGAUGUAGCGGCGGACGGGUGAGUAACACGUGGGUAACCUGCCUGUAAGACUGGGAUAACUCCGGGAAACCGGAGCUAAUACCGGAUAGUUCCUUGAACCGCAUGGUUCAAGGAUGAAAGACGGUUUCGGCUGUCACUUACAGAUGGACCCGCGGCGCAUAGCUAGUUGGUGAGGUAACGGCUCACCAAGGCGACGAUGCGUAGCCGACCUGAGAGGGUGAUCGGCCACACUGGGACUGAGACACGGCCCAGACUCCUACGGGAGGCAGCAGUAGGGAAUCUUCCGCAAUGGACGAAAGUCUGACGGAGCAACGCCGCGUGAGUGAUGAAGGUCUUCGGAUCGUAAAGCUCUGUUGUUAGGGAAGAACAAGUGCAAGAGUAACUGCUUGCACCUUGACGGUACCUAACCAGAAAGCCACGGCUAACUACGUGCCAGCAGCCGCGGUAAUACGUAGGUGGCCAGCGUUGUCCGGAAUUAUUGGGCGUAAAGGGCUCGCNGGCGGUUUCUUAAGUCUGAUGUGAAAGCCCCCGGCUCAACCGGGGAGGGUCAUUGGAAACUGGGAAACUUGAGUGCAGAAGAGGAGAGUGGAAUUCCACGUGUAGCGGUGAAAUGCGUAGAGAUGUGGAGGAACACCAGUGGCGAAGGCGACUCUCUGGUCUGUAACUGACGCUGAGGAGCGAAAGCGUGGGGAGCGAACAGGAUUAGAUACCCUGGUAGUCCACGCCGUAAACGAUGAGUGCUAAGUGUUAGGGGGUUUCCGCCCCUUAGUGCUGCAGCUAACGCAUUAAGCACUCCGCCUGGGGAGUACGGUCGCAAGACUGAAACUCAAAGGAAUUGACGGGGGCCCGCACAAGCGGUGGAGCAUGUGGUUUAAUUCGAAGCAACGCGAAGAACCUUACCAGGUCUUGACAUCCUCUGACAACCCUAGAGAUAGGGCUUUCCCUUCGGGGACAGAGUGAC
This 995-nucleotide ribosomal RNA is filed under the name Bacillus aerius. RNAcentral's name for it is "bacterial SSU rRNA". It matches the Rfam family "Bacterial small subunit ribosomal RNA", at positions 56 to 1035 of the family's 1533-position model. Lineage: Bacteria; Bacillati; Bacillota; Bacilli; Caryophanales; Bacillaceae. The record is from RNAcentral.